AACGAACGCUGGCGGCAGGCCUAACACAUGCAAGUCGAGCGAGGACUUCGGUCCUAGCGGCGGACGGGUGAGUAACGCGUGGGAACGUGCCCUUUGCUUCGGAAUAGCCCUGGGAAACUGGGAGUAAUACCGGAUGAGCCCUUUGGGGGAAAGAUUUAUCGGCGAAGGAUCGGCCCGCGUUGGAUUAGGUUGUUGGUGGGGUAAUGGCCUACCAAGCCGACGAUCCAUAGCUGGUUUGAGAGGAUGAUCAGCCACACUGGGACUGAGACACGGCCCAGACUCCUACGGGAGGCAGCAGUGGGGAAUCUUAGACAAUGGGGGAAACCCUGAUCUAGCCAUGCCGCGUGAGCGAUGAAGGCCUUAGGGUUGUAAAGCUCUUUCAGCUGGGAAGAUAAUGACGGUACCAGCAGAAGAAGCCCCGGCUAACUCCGUG
RNAcentral lists this ribosomal RNA (433 nucleotides) under uncultured bacterium. RNAcentral's name for it is "partial 16S ribosomal RNA". It matches the Rfam family "Bacterial small subunit ribosomal RNA", at positions 29 to 507 of the family's 1533-position model. The record is from RNAcentral.